CUGAACAAAAUGGCUGACAUUACUCGGUAUCCUUCUUUAACCUCUGCCAUCCCUUCCUGGUGUUGUGUCCUGCAGUACAGAGAGGAGAGGGGAAAAAAAAUCCCAAUUCCUGGUCUCUAUGGAAACAGCAGUCAGUGGGGGCAGUUUCAUCUGAAGGUGAAACCGACUGACUCUAGAAGAAGCGGCCUCCUGCAAUUGGCUGUUUGUGGACUCGACGUCGCUACCUUUCACAACUGAUAUUCAGUCUCCCAAGUAACCGGAACAUCGACAUACCGGGCUGAAAGACCGAAGAAUCGGCCAGCCAGUUUGAUCAGCAUGUGUGAAACUGCACUGAGCAUCAGCUCGGAAGGUUCUGAGAUGAACUGCAACACAAAAUAUAGA
Long non-coding RNA from Paramormyrops kingsleyae, 381 nucleotides. RefSeq lists it as uncharacterized. NCBI's taxonomy places the organism in Eukaryota, Metazoa, Chordata, Actinopteri, Osteoglossiformes, Mormyridae. The record is from RefSeq and is a predicted model, not a curated record.